Molecule: ribosomal RNA, 559 nt
Filed under: Inocybe sp. DL-2015
Lineage: Eukaryota; Fungi; Basidiomycota; Agaricomycetes; Agaricales; Inocybaceae
Description: eukaryotic LSU rRNA
Rfam family: 5.8S ribosomal RNA (bases 166-319)
Source: RNAcentral
AUUUAUCCCACUGAGCACAUGUGGAAGACCCUGGGUUCGAACUGGAAUUAGUUUUUCCUGUUGGGACUGCUGUGCUUGAAAAGUCGGCUUUGCCUUGCAUCUCCAGGUCUAUGUUUUCAUAUAAACCUCUCUGUUUGGAAUGUUCCUAUAAUAAAAGUUAUAUACAACUUUCAGCAACGGAUCUCUUGGCUCUCGCAUCAAUGAAGAACGCAGCGAAAUGCGAUAAGUAAUGUGAAUUGCAGAAUUCAUUGAAUCAUCGAAUCUUUGAACGCAUCUUGCGCUCCUUGGUAUUCCGAGGAGCAUGCCUGUUUGAGUGUCAUUCAAAACUUCUCAACCACAUUGAAUGAAUGUGGCUUGGAUUGUGGGGGUCUUUUUUGCAGGCUUUCUCAAGAAGGUCGGCUCCCCUGAAAUGCAUUAGUGGUAUCUGUGCUACUAUGGUGUGAUAAAUUAUCUAUGCCUUUGGUAUGCUGCAUGAACUGCUUCUAAUUUAUAUUAUGAAUUUGACCUCAAAUCAGGUAGGACUACCCGCUGAACUUAAGCAUAUCAAUAAGCGGAGGAA